RNAcentral lists this ribosomal RNA (154 nucleotides) under uncultured eukaryote. Its description in RNAcentral is "partial small subunit ribosomal RNA". It matches the Rfam family "Eukaryotic small subunit ribosomal RNA", at positions 1651 to 1797 of the family's 1831-position model. The record is from RNAcentral.
CCCUGCCAUUUGUACACACCGCCCGUCGCUACUACCGAUUGGAUGGUUUAGUGAGGCCCUCGGAUCGGCCCCGCCGGGGUCGGCCCACGGCCCUGGCGGAGCGCUGAGAAGACGGUCGAACUUGACUAUCUAGAGGAAGUAAAAGUCGUAACAA